Molecule: long non-coding RNA, 240 nt
Filed under: Mytilus galloprovincialis (Mediterranean mussel)
Lineage: Eukaryota; Metazoa; Mollusca; Bivalvia; Mytilida; Mytilidae
Source: RNAcentral
CUUUAUUUCGCGUAUUGCCUUUUAAAGUCCACUUCGCGGCUACUUAAUUUCGCGAAUUUCUAAUUUAUAUGAUGUAGUUCAGUAAGGAAAGAUCCAAGUGUUACAUAUUCGCGACGAUUUGUAUUCGCGUUAUUUUUCUACUCGCGAAAGUCGCGAAAAUAAAUCGCUCGCGAAAAUAAGUUGGUUUACAGUAUCUAUUUUUCAUUUUUGUUAUCUAUCAUAUGAUUGGUUGUACUUGUG